RNAcentral lists this ribosomal RNA (328 nucleotides) under uncultured eukaryote. RNAcentral describes it as "partial 18S ribosomal RNA". It matches the Rfam family "Eukaryotic small subunit ribosomal RNA", at positions 1470 to 1796 of the family's 1831-position model. The record is from RNAcentral.
CCCUUAGAUGUCCUGGGCCGCACGCGCGUUACACUGAUGCAUUCAACGAGCUUAUAACCUUGGCCGAGAGGCCUGGGCAAUCUUGUUAACGUGCAUCGUGAUAGGGAUAGAUUAUUGAAAUUAUUAAUCUUGAACGAGGAAUUCCUAGUAAACGCAAGUCAUCAGCUUGCAUUGAUUACGUCCCUGCCCUUUGUACACACCGCCUGUCGCACAAACCGAUUGAAUGAUUCGGUGAAAAUUUUGGACAUCGAGAGUGGUGAUUAAUUUCGCUGCUCUUAAAUGGAAAGAAUUUAAACCUAAUUAUUUAGAGGAUUGUGAAGUCAUAACA